UUACGGCUACAUCACGUUGAAAGACCAGUUCCCGUACGAUCAUCGAAGUUAAGCAACGUCGAACCUGAUCAGUACCUAGAUGGGUGACCGCAUGGGAAUGCCAGGUGCUGUAAG
RNAcentral lists this ribosomal RNA (114 nucleotides) under Acanthosepion pharaonis. Lineage: Eukaryota; Metazoa; Mollusca; Cephalopoda; Sepiida; Sepiidae. The record is from RNAcentral.